This 1559-nucleotide long non-coding RNA is filed under the name Ornithorhynchus anatinus (platypus). RNAcentral describes it as "lncRNA (ENSOANG00000040375.1)". Lineage: Eukaryota; Metazoa; Chordata; Mammalia; Monotremata; Ornithorhynchidae. The record is from RNAcentral.
AACUCCAGUGCUUGGCACAUAGUGAGUGUUUCACAAAUACCAUUCAGGGGAAAAAAAAAAGCAAACACCCACUGAACGCUGAACAGAUCUCAGCUCUUGACAUGAACCCUUCUCAGGUGCAAUUCGUCGAGGCCAGCUCUUCACUAGGAAAUCACUCUGAUAAAUGAGGCCAUCCUUAGCUUCCUGCAACAGGUGGGAGACAGACAUAGAGUACCUUGGGAAUGGAGCCGGCACUCACUGGUGGGCAACGAAAGAAGGUGACGGAUGGAUAGGUUAGUUGAGGCAUUGUUGAGCUGGGACAGCGUGCGCAGGCGCAGUGCAGCCAGUUUGGUGGCUGAAUCGCUGUUACAAAGGGAGGCACGAAAGGAGUUUGGGGAAGAGAGAGAGGGAGCCAACUAGUCAGCCAGGGGCUGCCCGAGAAAUGUCUCUUGUUGCUCUACUUUCCCGCGGGGGCUGAAGCUUCUCUCCUAGAUGCGUGUGGGUGGGCAGAAAGAAAAAAUGCAGCCGAAGUAGUUUUCGCGCUGCACUGAAAACUCUCUUCUGUGUUUUUUUUUGGUGAGUCGGAGGAGGGGGCAGUGGUGGGGAGACGGCCCCGGGUUUCUUCGUGGGUUUAAUUCUGGCGUUCGGAAAGCCUUGCAAACUCCGCCUCCCUCCCCCUCCUGCCCGCCCCCUUCCCUUCAGUCCCAGCGCAGCAUCUGUGCCCAGCGGGGCCCGGCGCGGCAGCAGGUCCAAUAAAGCGGACGGAGGUGAGUGAGCGAGCUGCAGUUUCUUUCGCUUGGGCAGAAAGGGGUUGCGUCCCGGAGACUUGCUCCAGGAGCCCAGCGUCCGAGGAAGGUGCUUCUGCCUGGCUGGCCCUCUGGGGAUCUCCUUCAGGUAGACGAUCAACUGAACCCUUAUCUUUUUGCCAAAGAGUGAAGCUAGCUGUGGUGGUGCAGUAAAUGCUAUGUACACAGCUGCAAGAAGCAGGUGGCUUGUCUGGGAACUUUGGGUGACUUACUGCAGAUAAUGGGGAACCUUAUACAACUCUCUUGCUAGAAAGGAAUUUUUCUGAAACAUGGGGUGUUUUGUUCCCUCUUGAUGGAGAACCUUUCAGUAAGCAGGCACUAUUUGCAUUGCUUUGAAGAUGGUGUUACAGCAAUAAUGUGACUUAUUGCUGGUCAGGGGCGAAGUAGGGUGUGUUAACUCUUCGGUGCAUAUGGUCUGUACAAAGGUUGGUUGGUGACACAAUCCUUAACUUUUGUAAGCAAAAUUCAUUAAAUGUCAAGGAAGUCUUAGGCAUGUCCCCUUCAUUUAAUGCCUAGUCACAGGGUAUAUUCUGAAUUCUGGCCACGAUCAGUAAUAGAGCAUUGUUUCCGGUAGAAACUGAAUGGUGAAGGGGUUCUAGAAAAUCAACAGUGAAAUAUCUCUCCCCCCCCCACCUCCCUGCCCUCAAUCAUAUCAAAUCUCACACUAGUUGAAUUUUAGACUGAAAAACUAAACACUACAUCAAUGUCAUUUGUCUAAACCUCAAAAGAGGAAGAGGGCAGAAGAGAAAUCAGUGGCAGUCAAGUUGUUUUUCU